This 252-nucleotide ribosomal RNA is filed under the name uncultured bacterium. Its description in RNAcentral is "partial 16S ribosomal RNA". It matches the Rfam family "Bacterial small subunit ribosomal RNA", at positions 524 to 776 of the family's 1533-position model. The record is from RNAcentral.
UACGUAGGUGCCGAGCGUUGUCCGGAUUUAUUGGGCGUAAAGCGAGCGCAGGUGGUUUAUUAAGUCUGGUGUAAAAGGCAGUGGCUCAACCAUUGUAUGCAUUGGAAACUGGUAGACUUGAGUGCAGGAGAGGAGAGUGGAAUUCCAUGUGUAGCGGUGAAAUGCGUAGAUAUAUGGAGGAACACCGGUGGCGAAAGCGGCUCUCUGGCCUGUAACUGACACUGAGGCUCGAAAGCGUGGGGAGCAAACAGG